CCUACGGGGGGCUGCAGUGGGGAAUAUUGGACAAUGGGCGAAAGCCUGAUCCAGCCAUGCCGCGUGUGUGAAGAAGGCCUUCGGGUUGUAAAGCACUUUCAGUGGGGAAGAAAGCCUUGGGGCUAAUACCCUCGAGGAAGGACAUCACCCACAGAAGAAGCACCGGCUAACUCCGUGCCAGCAGCCGCGGUAAUACGGAGGGUGCGAGCGUUAAUCGGAAUUACUGGGCGUAACGCGCGCGUAGGCGGUCUGAUAAGCCGGUUGUGAAAGCCCCGGGCUCAACCUGGGAACGGCAUCCGGAACUGUCAGGCUAGAGUGCAGGAGAGGAAGGUAGAAUUCCCGGUGUAGCGGUGAAAUGCGUAGAGAUCGGGAGGAAUACCAGUGGCGAAGGCGGCCUUCUGGACUGACACUGACGCUGGGGUGCGAAAGCGUGGGUAGCAAACAGGAUUAGAUACCCCAGUAGUC
Molecule: ribosomal RNA, 465 nt
Filed under: Vreelandella stevensii
Lineage: Bacteria; Pseudomonadati; Pseudomonadota; Gammaproteobacteria; Oceanospirillales; Halomonadaceae
Description: partial 16S ribosomal RNA
Rfam family: Bacterial small subunit ribosomal RNA
Source: RNAcentral